GACGAACGCUGGCGGCGUGCUUAACACAUGCAAGUCGAACGGAAAGGCCCUGCUUUUGUGGGGUGCUCGAGUGGCGAACGGGUGAGUAACACGUGAGUAACCUGCCCUUGACUUUGGGAUAACUUCAGGAAACUGGGGCUAAUACCGGAUAGGAGCUCCUGCUGCAUGGUGGGGGGUGGGAAGGUUUCGGCGGUUGGGGAUGGACUCGCGGCUUAUCAGCUUGUUGGUGGGGUAGUGGCUUACCAAGGCUUUGACGGGUAGCCGGCCUGAGAGGGUGACCGGCCACAUUGGGACUGAGAUACGGCCCAGACUCCUACGGGAGGCAGCAGUGGGGAAUAUUGCACAAUGGGCGGAAGCCUGAUGCAGCAACGCCGCGUGCGGGAUGACGGCCUUCGGGUUGUAAACCGCUUUCGCCUGUGACGAAGCGUGAGUGACGGUAAUGGGUAAAGAAGCACCGGCUAACUACGUG
This 469-nucleotide ribosomal RNA is filed under the name uncultured bacterium. RNAcentral's name for it is "partial 16S ribosomal RNA". It matches the Rfam family "Bacterial small subunit ribosomal RNA", at positions 28 to 507 of the family's 1533-position model. The record is from RNAcentral.